AUACGGAGGACGCGAGCGUUAUCCGGAUUCAUUGGGUUUAAAGGGUGCGCAGGCGGCCGUGCAAGUCAGCGGUGAAAGCCCGGGGCUCAACCCCGGAAGUGCCGUUGAUACUGCAUGGCUGGAAUGCGGUCGAGGCGGGCGGAACGUGGCGUGUAGCGGGGAAAAGCGUAGAUAUGCCACAGAACGCCGAUAGCGGAGGCAGCUCGCCAGGCCUGCAUUGACGCUCGGGCACGAAAGCGUGGGGAUCGAACAGGAUUAGAUACCCUGGUAGUCCACGCCGUAAACGAUGGGCGCUCGUCGUCGGCGGCAGACAGUCGGCGGCCAAGCGAAAGCGAUAAGCGCCCCACCUGGGGAGUACGGUCGCAAGGCUGAAACUUAAAGGAAUUGACGGGG
This 393-nucleotide ribosomal RNA is filed under the name uncultured bacterium. RNAcentral's name for it is "partial 16S ribosomal RNA". It matches the Rfam family "Bacterial small subunit ribosomal RNA", at positions 523 to 918 of the family's 1533-position model. The record is from RNAcentral.